Molecule: unclassified non-coding RNA, 289 nt
Filed under: uncultured fungus
Lineage: Eukaryota; Fungi
Description: sequence contains ITS1
Source: RNAcentral
GUAUAAAUUUCAAGGGACACACAAAAAAAAAAAAGUCCCAUGUAUGACAUUCUGAACAAGGUGUUUCGAGAAGAAAAUACAUGCACCCCGGAGGGGUAAGGGAAAGCCGACCUUCGGACAGGCCAGCAAGCCCCAAAUAUACUCAAGUUUGCCUUGACUUUUUCCGGGGUCCACAGGAGGUGCACAGGUGGGUAAGGAAGUUUGAAGAGGCGUGCACAUGCUCCGAAAAGCCAGCGACAACCUCCCAACUGAUUCAAUAAUGAUCCUUCCGCAGGUUCACCUACGGAAA